Molecule: ribosomal RNA, 465 nt
Filed under: uncultured bacterium
Lineage: Bacteria
Description: partial 16S ribosomal RNA
Rfam family: Bacterial small subunit ribosomal RNA
Source: RNAcentral
CCUACGGGAGGCAGCAGUGGGGAAUAUUGCGCAAUGGGCGAAAGCCUGACGCAGCGACGCCGCGUGAGGGAUGAAGGUCUUCGGAUCGUAAACCUCUGUCAGCAGGGAAGAACGGUCACUGUGCUAAUCAGCAGUGAAUUGACGGUACCUGCAAAGGAAGCACCGGCUAACUCCGUGCCAGCAGCCGCGGUAAUACGGAGGGUGCGAGCGUUAAUCGGAAUUACUGGGCGUAAAGCGCUCGUAGGCGGUAUGUCAAGUCAAGGGUGAAAUCCCCGCGCUCAACGUGGGAACUGCCUUUGAAACUGGCAAACUGGAGUGUGUGAGAGGCUAGUGGAAUUCCAGGUGUAGGAGUGAAAUGCGUAGAUAUCUGGAGGAACAUCAGUGGCGAAGGCGACUAUCUGGCACAUAACUGACGCUGAGGAGCGAAAGCGUGGGUAGCAAACAGGAUUAGAUACCCUAGUAGUC